AUUGAACGCUGGCGGCAGGCCUAACACAUGCAAGUCGAGCGGAUGAAGGGAGCUUGCUCCUGGAUUCAGCGGCGGACGGGUGAGUAAUGCCUAGGAAUCUGCCUGGUAGUGGGGGAUAGCGUCCGGAAACGGGCGCUAAUACCGCAUACGUCCUGAGGGAGAAAGUGGGGGAUCUUCGGACCUCACGCUAUCAGAUGAGCCUAGGUCGGAUUAGCUAGUUGGUGGGGUAAAGGCCUACCAAGGCGACGAUCCGUAACUGGUCUGAGAGGAUGAUCAGUCACACUGGAACUGAGACACGGUCCAGACUCCUACGGGAGGCAGCAGUGGGGAAUAUUGGACAAUGGGCGAAAGCCUGAUCCAGCCAUGCCGCGUGUGUGAAGAAGGUCUUCGGAUUGUAAAGCACUUUAAGUUGGGAGGAAGGGCAGUAAGUUAAUACCUUGCUGUUUUGACGUUACCAACAGAAUAAGCACCGGCUAACUUCGU
Molecule: ribosomal RNA, 483 nt
Filed under: uncultured bacterium
Lineage: Bacteria
Description: partial 16S ribosomal RNA
Rfam family: Bacterial small subunit ribosomal RNA
Source: RNAcentral